RNAcentral lists this ribosomal RNA (440 nucleotides) under uncultured bacterium. RNAcentral's name for it is "partial 16S ribosomal RNA". It matches the Rfam family "Bacterial small subunit ribosomal RNA", at positions 338 to 795 of the family's 1533-position model. The record is from RNAcentral.
CCUACGGGUGGCAGCAGUGGGGAAUAUUACACAAUGGGGGAAACCCUGAUGCAGCGACGCCGCGUGAAGGAAGAAGUAUUUCGGUAUGUAAACUUCUAUCAGCAGGGAAGAAAAUGACGGUACCUGACUAAGAAGCCCCGGCUAACUACGUGCCAGCAGCCGCGGUAAUACGGAGGGGGCAAGCGUUAUCCGGAUUUACUGGGUGUAAAGGGAGCGUAGGCGGCGAUGCAAGUCAGAAGUGAAAGCCCGGGGCUCAACUCCGGGACUGCUUUUGAAACUGGGUUGCUUGAUUGCAGGAGAGGUAAGUGGAAUUCCUGGUGUAGCGGUGAAAUGCGUAGAUAUUAGGAGGAACACCAGUGGCGAAGGCGGCUUACUGGACUGUAAAUGACGCUGAGGCUCGAAAGCGUGGGGAGCAAACAGGAUUAGAUACCCUGGUAGUC